This 447-nucleotide ribosomal RNA is filed under the name uncultured bacterium. RNAcentral's name for it is "bacterial SSU rRNA". It matches the Rfam family "Bacterial small subunit ribosomal RNA", at positions 355 to 825 of the family's 1533-position model. The record is from RNAcentral.
UCGGGAAUUUUGGGCAAUGGGCGAAAGCCUGACCCAGCAACGCCGCGUGAAGGAUGAAGUAUUUCGGUAUGUAAACUUCGUAAGAAUAGGAAGAAUAAAUGACGGUACUAUUUAUAAGGUCCGGCUAACUACGUGCCAGCAGCCGCGGUAAUACGUAGGGACCAAGCGUUGUUCGGAUUUACUGGGCGUAGAGGGCGCGUAGGCGGCAAUUCAAGUCAUCUGUGAAAUCUCCGGGCUUAACUCGGAACGGUCAGAUGAUACUGCUUUGCUAGAGUGCAGAAGGGGCAAUCGGAAUUCUUGGUGUAGCGGUGAAAUGCGUAGAUAUCAAGAGGAACACCUGAGGUGAAGACGGGUUGCUGGGCUGACACUGACGCUGAGGCGCGAAAGCCAGGGGAGCAAACGGGAUUAGAUACCCACGUAGUCCCUGAGCGGGCUGGCAAGGCGCAU